CUGGAGGACCGGUCGCGCGAGUCCACCAGGAGCCUAUCACACUGUUCUGGCUCGUGCAGCGGCGCUGACUCGGUUGGACGGCCUGCUGCGAGUCAUCAUCCCUGACGAGCAGCAGGGCACCAUCAUCAGUCGCACGCUGCCGGCGCGGCCCAACACGAGCGCCCGAGACAUCUGCAAGAUGCUCGGCAACAAGCUGCGUAUCACCAGUCCCAUCGAUUACGGUCUCUUCAAACUCAUCAACGGCAACGAGACCCUGCUCAGCGACCAUGAGUGUCCGCAGCUGCUCAAGCAGGAGCUGACCGCCAGCGGAACGCACUGUAUGCUCGCCUACAAACGGCUCGAGUCCAAGAUCGCCUGGCCCACGGCGCAGCUCUGAGUGACGUCACGAUGGUGGCUCGCGGCGGCGUCACGGCUC
This is a long non-coding RNA of Pollicipes pollicipes, 415 nucleotides long. RefSeq lists it as uncharacterized. The transcript has 3 exons. NCBI's taxonomy places the organism in Eukaryota, Metazoa, Arthropoda, Thecostraca, Pollicipedomorpha, Pollicipedidae. The record is from RefSeq and is a predicted model, not a curated record.